GACGAACGCUGGCGGCGUGCUUAACACAUGCAAGUCGAACGGAAAGGCCCUGCUUUUGUGGGGUGCUCGAGUGGCGAACGGGUGAGUAACACGUGAGUAACCUGCCCUUGACUUUGGGAUAACUUCAGGAAACUGGGGCUAAUACCGGAUAGGAGCUCCUGCUGCAUGGUGGGGGUUGGAAAGUUUCGGCGGUUGGGGAUGGACUCGCGGCUUAUCAGCUUGUUGGUGGGGUAGUGGCUUACCAAGGCUUUGACGGGUAGCCGGCCUGAGAGGGUGACCGGCCACAUUGGGACUGAGAUACGGCCCAGACUCCUACGGGAGGCAGCAGUGGGGAAUAUUGCGCAAUGGGGGGAAGCCUGAUGCAGCAACGCCGCGUGCGGGAUGACGGCCUUCGGGUUGUAAACCGCUUUCGCCUGUGACGAAGCGUGAGUGACGGUAAUGGGUAAAGAAGCACCGGCUAACUACGUG
RNAcentral lists this ribosomal RNA (468 nucleotides) under uncultured bacterium. RNAcentral describes it as "partial 16S ribosomal RNA". It matches the Rfam family "Bacterial small subunit ribosomal RNA", at positions 28 to 507 of the family's 1533-position model. The record is from RNAcentral.